AUGCCAUUUCAGGAUUGCAUUGGGGCAAUAGAUGGUACUCUUGUCACUGCCAGAGUACCAAGAUCACAAUCUGCAGCAUACAGGGGGAGGAAGCACUACAUAGGUCAGAAUGUGCUUGCUGCUGUUGACUUCAAUCUAAAGUUCACAUAUGUGCUGGCUGGAUGGGAAGGAUCAACACAUGAUGCUAACAUUCUAAGUGACAACAUGAGUAGACCUGAUGGCAUCAACAUCCCCGAUGACAAGUUCUACCUACAAGAUGCUGGCUAUGCAUGCCGGGCAGGUGUUCUUCCAUCCUUCAGGAAAACUAAGUACCAUCUGAACGAGUUAUCUGGUAGGAACUAUCCUAGGACUUCUCAGGAACUGUUCAAUCUCAGACACUCCAGCCUUAGAGUUACAGUUGAGAAGGCAUUUGAACCUUGA
This 420-nucleotide ribosomal RNA is filed under the name Triticum aestivum (bread wheat). RNAcentral describes it as "partial small subunit ribosomal RNA". The record is from RNAcentral. Lineage: Eukaryota; Viridiplantae; Streptophyta; Magnoliopsida; Poales; Poaceae.